Molecule: long non-coding RNA, 801 nt
Organism: Ochotona curzoniae (black-lipped pika)
Lineage: Eukaryota; Metazoa; Chordata; Mammalia; Lagomorpha; Ochotonidae
Exons: 6
Source: RefSeq, a predicted model, not a curated record
GAGGCUCUGCUGCUGGAGUGGCACUUCACCCCUGGACCACCAACACUUCUGAGAAGACUGACAUACUUCUGUUUGCUCCAUCUCCACCUAGACUAACAUCUGAGAGAGCCUGGACGCAAGCUUGAAGCUGCUGCAUGGACUGCGUGGUGCCAUGGUUAAACAACUGCUUGUGAUGCUGCCAUCCGCUGUGCAUCACAUACUCCUGUGAUCUGCACAUCUUACGCAUCAAGCUAAACCCUGCCCUGCCACUGAGUCUUUCCAAAUGCAGGUAGGGGUGCCAGCACUGUCAUCUCAUGAUAUGUUGCAAUGGAUCAUGAGGAAAGCUAAACAUAAUGGUAACCACCAAGAUCAAACCCUGAGACUGAGAAUAAGGAUUCAAGGUGCCUGCAACCAUUCGUUCACCCAUCACCAUCAAGAGGAUCUUACAGGAUUCCAAAGAUCAAUUUAUACUGGGCAAAUACUGCUCAGGGAAAGGAGCAGAGCUUCUUCUCUGAGGCCGGAAGACCAAGAGCUUGCAAUCCAUUCAAGAAUCUGCACAGCUCUUCUUAUCUAGAUGUCCUCAAAGAGGCCCUGGAUCAUUAGAUGUGACUGGCUCAGUCAGGGCAGCUGAGUCCAUGUUUUGGCAAUUAUGACCCAAUGCUGCUGUUACAUCUUCGUGCUGGUAUUUAUGUAAACAGAUGCUACCAAUAUCAAAUAUGGGUAAAUAUCAAAGUAUGAUUCCUUGUUUGUGUGAGAAGAGUAUGUUUCAUUUGGGACUGGCAUUCUGGUACAGUGUGUUAAGCUACCAUCCACAACAGUGGA